UUAGGUAUGUAAAGGCUCAAGGCGUAGGAAAUGAAUCGCUAGGAAUAUCUCUUCUUUCGUUUAAACCAAGUAGGCCCUAAACCAAAGGUUUGAUCGCUGUGCUUUCCCCUUAUUGUUAGUCCUCUUACCAUACACCACUUCGUAUGGUUACUUCCCCCCUUAACAUACGCCGAUUCACAUCGUUUUUAUAGGCAAACUCUGCAGUUGGAAGAACUUAUUCCCACUUGCUUGGUCUCCCUUGCACUAAGCUCCUCAGAAAGUCUUCCAGUAAACCGACGACUGGAAUCUGGCCAUCCUGAGUGAUAAGCAUUGCUAAACCUCAGUUCAGUGCCUAAUUUCUUCCGUAACACCCUCUAUUUGGUGUCUUGAUCGGACGUAAUGCUCCCCUUUUGUCAUAAGGCAAGGUUUCUCACCACCUAAUGAUGAUAUCAUAUCACGAUCAUGUGGUAGCCCCGUUCGAAUUCCAUAUGCAAAUUCUAAUUGAAAUAAAAAAAACCCGA
This 500-nucleotide long non-coding RNA is filed under the name Gossypium barbadense (sea-island cotton). RNAcentral describes it as "long non-coding RNA (GBAR_LNC003427)". The record is from RNAcentral. Lineage: Eukaryota; Viridiplantae; Streptophyta; Magnoliopsida; Malvales; Malvaceae.